RNAcentral lists this transfer RNA (69 nucleotides) under Heterocephalus glaber (naked mole-rat). It matches the Rfam family "tRNA". Rfam says of the family: Transfer RNA (tRNA) molecules are approximately 80 nucleotides in length. Their secondary structure includes four short double-helical elements and three loops (D, anti-codon, and T loops). Further hydrogen bonds mediate the characteristic L-shaped molecular structure. tRNAs have two regions of fundamental functional importance: the anti-codon, which is responsible for specific mRNA codon recognition, and the 3' end, to which the tRNAs corresponding amino acid is attached (by aminoacyl-tRNA synthetases). tRNAs cope with the degeneracy of the genetic code in two manners: having more than one tRNA (with a specific anti-codon) for a particular amino acid; and 'wobble' base-pairing, i.e. permitting non-standard base-pairing at the 3rd anti-codon position. Lineage: Eukaryota; Metazoa; Chordata; Mammalia; Rodentia; Bathyergidae. The record is from Rfam by way of RNAcentral.
GGGGAUGUAGCUUAGUGGUAGAGCACUUGCCUAGUAUGUGCAAGUCCCUAGGUUCAAUCCCCAGCACCA